AUUUACAUAAUUUAUAUAGUAAGAAUAUUGCAUUGAAGCUGCAAAAGAGAUUAGUUAAUCUGUAAAUA
This 68-nucleotide transfer RNA is filed under the name Maguimithrax spinosissimus. RNAcentral's name for it is "Damithrax spinosissimus tRNA-Phe". The record is from RNAcentral. Lineage: Eukaryota; Metazoa; Arthropoda; Malacostraca; Decapoda; Mithracidae.